CAGAUCCCCUACCACAAAGAGAUCCUCAACCACAGAGAGGUUGAAUUGUAGCCAGCUAAUUACAACCGUCAAUUUUUAUUUCGUACGAACCUUCCCGCGAAAAGCGAAGGACGCAUUGGCCGUCGAUCUGUCCUAGAAUCCUAAAUCGGAACUGCUUACUGUCCAAGGCACCUGUAUUAUUAGGGUUCCUUCUUCCAUCCCAACUGUGCCCAUUUUUGGUUUUGCUAAUCUUUGUGGAUUUCUGUUAGCAAGACAGAAUCGCGAUGGCUUGCUUUUCUUUUGGAAUCAUUCGGCGGAACACCGACAUAUGCUUCAGAGAAUCUCAACUAUGGCGGAUCGAAGCGAGAUUUCAAUGCAGAGAGAAUUUGAUGUAGCAUAGAGAUCUGAAUCAAAGGUCUUGUUUUUGUGGUCUGUGUUUCGAAUGUUUCUUGGUUAUCAGACCUUUGCCAUGACAGGUGCCCUUGCUUGGCAGGUCACAAACAGUAAUAAAAAAAUAUCAUUUGUUUGAGGGGAGAUCGCACGGGGAUUUUGCCCGGGUUCUCCCCUCUGGUGUGCCGUGUCCUGCUUUUCUUUCUCUUGAUAUCUUCCUACUCGCUCCUGCGCACUCAAAUUGGAAUCCGAAUUAUCAACUCGAUCUCAAAAGUUUGCUAUGAGGGAUUUUAUCUGCAUUACUAGUUGAUAAUCACACUUUGGAAGGUGAAAGGACCUUCAUUUCAUCGAGGUUCGUAUUUUUGAUCGGAUACUGAAUUUUGUUUACCACUUUGUCAGGCUAUGCACUUCAAUUUGGCAUUGGGUUAUCAUUUCUAAUUCAAAUUCCAUUCCGAUUGUUACCCUUUCUGAAUAACGCACAGCAAUGACACACAGAGUUUGGAAAUUUCAAAAUCUUUUGUACAGGAUGCCAUGGAUUUAAACAAUGUACUAAUAUCUAUUAUGUAUUACCUAUCUCUCCGCCCAUGGAUUCAUGUUGUGGUUAUUCAAAAAUACCCCAUUAUGAUUCAUUUCAUACUGCGCAACAUGAAAGGAGAAUGAAACUUGAAGCUUCUGCCAAGGCAGGACAUGGAUCCUUUCUACUCUUGAUAGCCAGUUAUAAUAUUUGAAUCUAUAUUCUGUUAUGUAUGGUCAUUGGCAUUGGUGUUUAGUCCCUUGACUUCUAUAGCAGUCCAUGGUGACAUGAUGAAAAAGGAAAUGGAGGCAAGUGCUCUGCUGGGGUCCAUGGCUUUGCAGUGAAGCUUAAUGUGGAAUGUGAAGAAACCAUGUGAUCCGAUGAUGUUUCAAUCUCUUGGGAGUUGGAUGAAACAACUCUAAUGGCAUCAACACUGAAUAACUCAUUAUCUUGAAGCCAACAAAGAUCAAGGGGGAGGAGGGGAUCUUCUUUCUCCGCAAUCCAUUCAUCAUCCGAAUCAAUCUCCUCUACCAAAAUCGGAUCAACAUUUUGUUUCCUUUGUAGACUUCGCUCUCUCAAUCUAGUGUUGUAUCUUACAUACACUAGAGCAUUCAACCUUUGAUGUUCAAGUCUAUUUCUUUUUUUUGUAUGGAUCUACAAAUAAUAAAAGUAUCAAAUUUAUGUGUUAAAAUGAAA
Molecule: long non-coding RNA, 1579 nt
Organism: Vitis riparia (riverbank grape)
Lineage: Eukaryota; Viridiplantae; Streptophyta; Magnoliopsida; Vitales; Vitaceae
Exons: 4
Source: RefSeq, a predicted model, not a curated record